This 145-nucleotide small RNA is filed under the name uncultured Butyrivibrio sp. RNAcentral's name for it is "Clostridiales-1 RNA". It matches the Rfam family "Clostridiales-1 RNA", at positions 17 to 159 of the family's 166-position model. The record is from RNAcentral. Lineage: Bacteria; Bacillati; Bacillota; Clostridia; Lachnospirales; Lachnospiraceae.
AAAUACCCACUCAUGGCAAACUUGUUUGACUAUGAGUGGGUAUUUUAGUGGCACGCACCAACAUGAGGAAGUAGCGGGGCAGGGGCCCCGUGGAUUCCGAAUGUUGGUAGGAUUGCGGGAGUGCGUAGCACGGAGCAAUCCGUAA